UACAGAGGUCUCAAGCGUUGUUCGGAUUUACUGGGCGUAAAGGGCGCGUAGGCGGCGUGACAAGUCACUUGUGAAAUCUCCGGGCUUAACCCGGAGCGGUCAAGUGAUACUGUCGUGCUAGAGUGCGGAAGGGGCUACUGGAAUUCUCGGUGUAGCGGUGAAAUGCGUAGAUAUCGAGAGGAACACCUGCGGCGAAGGCGGGUAGCUGGGCCGACACUGACGCUGAUGCGCGAAAGCGUGGGGAGCAAACGGG
This 253-nucleotide ribosomal RNA is filed under the name uncultured bacterium. RNAcentral describes it as "partial 16S ribosomal RNA". It matches the Rfam family "Bacterial small subunit ribosomal RNA", at positions 524 to 776 of the family's 1533-position model. The record is from RNAcentral.